AAUACCGCANACGCCCNAAGGGGGAAAGCGGGGGAUCUUCGGACCUCGUGCUAUUAGAUGAGCCUGCGUGAGAUUAGCUAGUUGGUGAGGUAAAGGCUCACCAAGGCGACGAUCUCUAGCUGGUCUGAGAGGAUGAUCCGCCACACUGGGACUGAGACACGGCCCAGACUCCUACGGGAGGCAGCAGUGGGGAAUAUUGGACAAUGGGGGGAACCCUGAUCCAGCCAUGCCGCGUGUGUGAAGAAGGCCUUAUGGUUGUAAAGCACUUUAAGCGAGGAGGAGGCUACUAGUAUUAAUACUACUGGAUAGUGGACGUUACUCGCAGAAUAAGCACCGGCUAACUCUGUGCCAGCAGCCGCGGUAAUACAGAGGGUGCGAGCGUUAAUCGGAUUUACUGGGCGUAAAGCGUGCGUAGGCGGCCAUUUA
Molecule: ribosomal RNA, 426 nt
Filed under: uncultured bacterium
Lineage: Bacteria
Description: bacterial SSU rRNA
Rfam family: Bacterial small subunit ribosomal RNA
Source: RNAcentral